This is a long non-coding RNA of Juglans microcarpa x Juglans regia, 1339 nucleotides long. RefSeq lists it as uncharacterized. The record is from RefSeq and is a predicted model, not a curated record. NCBI's taxonomy places the organism in Eukaryota, Viridiplantae, Streptophyta, Magnoliopsida, Fagales, Juglandaceae. The transcript has 3 exons.
GGCCAUGUUAAUAUAUAUAUAUAUAUCUCCCUCCUACUACAGUCACUAAUCCCUCCAUUGUUUUCGUCCCUAGCUAUGAGCUGAUCUCUCUCUCUCUCUCUCUCUCUCAUCUCUCUCUGAGGACUUGAACCUAGAGACAGAUCUCGGACUUAUAUGCUUAUUUCUCCUCAGUAUUCUGCUCAUUUUUAUUGCUUAUAUUUAUUUGUUUCCCUUCCCCCAUCCCAUAUGUAUGUGUUUCUUUAAUUGAACUCCAUCGGGUUCUGCUUCUCACUUUUGUUUUUUUUUUUUUUUUUUUCCCUUCAUUUUAUUAACUUUUUUUCUCUGUUGGUCUCCUCUCUGUAAUCUGGCAUGGAAAGUUAUAAUACCAAAUGGGUCUUCUUCCCUGAGCCCGAACCUUACUCCCUUCGCUUUUAAACUGUUGUUCUUGCGGGAAUCUAAUCGGAAAAAUCUGAUCAACAUAUGAUUUCAAAGUUUUUAUCUAUUGGAUAUGGCUGGUAACAUUAAUUUUUUUCUUUGGGUUCAAAACAUAAUGAAUAGGGUUUUGUUUUAUUCCAAGAGGUCCUUAUUCGAUAAUUGAAAGUUUUGUUUCUAUGGUAGAGUUAGAAACUGUAGAUUCUUCUCGGGGUACCCCUCAAGUAGUACUUUAUGUUCCAGCCACUGGUAAUCCGCCACCUCAUCUUAUGCCCGUGGCCUUGGGCUAAGUUGUACGUGAAAUGUCAUAUUUUGUCCUUUUGUUUUCCUUUUUUUGCACUCUUUCUUGCUUUGUUUCUGCUUUUCAUGACGAGGGUCUUCCUAUGGAAAUAUUUUGGAUGUACUUCUGCUUCUUUUCUUGAUAUAAAAGUCCACAUUUUCGGUUAAUUAGGCUUUGUGCAUGAUGAUAGAUUGACAGUCAGUUGUUUGCGGGUGUGGCAUCUUCAAGAUUCACAUGGAAAAGCACGGUUGGUGAUGCAAAAUCUCUCUGCCAAAGCUCUUUGAAAGUGAGAAUCUUGAUGAUGCUGCAUCGGCAAGAAACGACUCUACAAAAGUGGAUUUUCUCCCACCAAUCAGAUCGAGCUGCCAUUCAACAGACCUGUUAAUAUUCUUCUGCAAAAAAUUUGUUAUGGUGGGAAAUAGUAUCUUUUCAGGUGCUUCUUGUUGGAGAUGGAGAUGGGGUUUUAUUAUUUUAUUGCUGGAAAUUAAAGAGAAAGAGAAUGUUGAUGAUGCUAGCUGCAUGAGCUUUAAAAUAUAUAUUCUGGAAAGAAAGGCAAAGAAACAGUAACAGGUGGAAUGUGGAACUAAUUGCUUGAGUUGUCUACGAAUGGAUUGACAAAUGUGAACAGAAACUGAGAUGAAAGGUGAG